Molecule: non-coding RNA, 279 nt
Organism: Oryctolagus cuniculus (rabbit)
Lineage: Eukaryota; Metazoa; Chordata; Mammalia; Lagomorpha; Leporidae
Source: Rfam
ACACAAUCUUAAAAUUUUUCCUUAGAAAAUUUUUUCCAACUAUUUCUUUUGUGUGUUUUUUUUAACCUAUAAAAGAUAAUAGAAUAUCUUUUAUGGACUGGAUUUUUAUCUCAUCCCUCUGCCUCUCAAAGGCACUCAGUUUAAUAGUUGCCUAUUAUUUCUCAGCGUUGGAUUUAAUUAAUAGGACCAAAAUGUUCCACAGUGAAUUCGUUUGCUAAACAUUCUGUCACUUCUGUGAUUUCUGCCUUUGAGAAAUUGCUUCAUUACAGAAAUCUAUCU